AACGCGAAGAACCUUACCUGGGCUUGAACUACGGAUGGUAAGCCGUUGGAAACAGUGGCUGACCCGCAAGGGAGUCCGCAGAGGUGCUGCAUGGUUGUCGUCAGCUCGUGUCGUGAGAUGUUGGGUUAAGUCCCGCAACGAGCGCAACCCCUAUUCGAUGUUGCUAAUCCCGCAAGGGAUGCACUCUUCGAAAACUGCCUUCGAUAAGAAGGAGGAAGGUGGGGAUGACGUCAAAUCCUCAUGGCCCUUAUGUCCAGGGCUACACACGUGUUACAAUGGCCGGUACAAUGGGAAGCAAUACCGUAAGGUGGAGCCAAACCCACAAAGCCGGCCCCAGUUCAGAUUGUGGGCUGCAACUCGCCCACAUGAAGGCGGAAUCGCUAGUAAUCGCUGAUCAGCAGGCAGCGGUGAAUACGUUCCCGGGCCUUGUA
RNAcentral lists this ribosomal RNA (431 nucleotides) under uncultured delta proteobacterium. RNAcentral describes it as "bacterial SSU rRNA". It matches the Rfam family "Bacterial small subunit ribosomal RNA", at positions 958 to 1385 of the family's 1533-position model. Lineage: Bacteria; Deltaproteobacteria. RNAcentral also lists the same sequence under 1 other name. The record is from RNAcentral.